This 503-nucleotide long non-coding RNA is filed under the name Musa acuminata (dwarf banana). Its description in RNAcentral is "long non-coding RNA (MACU_LNC002824)". The record is from RNAcentral. Lineage: Eukaryota; Viridiplantae; Streptophyta; Magnoliopsida; Zingiberales; Musaceae.
CCGCAGAGGCGGGCGGUUGGUUCUUGUGGUGACGGAGGAGGAGCUCCUUCUGGCGGCGGAUCUCCAUGACCUUGCGAUGGGAGUUGGAGUGCUGGGUGAGCACGAAGGCUGGGCUGGCCGCCGGUCGGUACUCCGGGAGGAGCCGCCCGGACUUGUACCUCACCCCGCACGCGUUGCACAGCGUCUUCGGCCCCAGUGGCCCCGUCCGCCACUGCGGCGUCUUCUCCGAUGCGCAGUGCAUGCACCGCCGCACUCCGCCCUCCGCUCCGACGCCCCAUCCGCUUUUCUUUCCUCUACUACCGCCAUUACUGCCGCCGCCUCUGCUGCUAAUACACUUAAUACCGAUGGAAUCAGGUUGGGAAGGUGGGAAAUCAGAAGAGGACGAGGACGAGGACGACGGCGAGGACUGCGGUGGUGGCGUUAACGAGGACCAAACCGUGGUAGGAUUGCUGCUCCUGGACCGCUUGCUUCUCGCUGCGUAACGUGCAACGCAUUGGUCCACG